GCAGGUAUAGUUUAGUGGUAAAACAUUAGCUUCCCAAGCUAUGGAUGUCGGUUCAAUUCCGAUUACCUGCUCCA
This 74-nucleotide transfer RNA is filed under the name Mycoplasmataceae bacterium. RNAcentral's name for it is "tRNA-Gly". It matches the Rfam family "tRNA". From Rfam's summary of the family: Transfer RNA (tRNA) molecules are approximately 80 nucleotides in length. Lineage: Bacteria; Bacillati; Mycoplasmatota; Mollicutes; Mycoplasmatales; Mycoplasmataceae. The record is from RNAcentral.